Molecule: ribosomal RNA, 253 nt
Filed under: uncultured bacterium
Lineage: Bacteria
Description: partial 16S ribosomal RNA
Rfam family: Bacterial small subunit ribosomal RNA
Source: RNAcentral
UACAGAGGAUGCAAGCAUUAUCCGAAAUGAUUGGGCGUAAAGCAUCUGUAGGUGGCUUUUUAAGUCCGUCGUCAAAUCCCAGGGCUCAACCCUGGACAGGCGGUGGAAACUACCAAGCUGGAGUACAGUAGGGGCAGGGGGAAUUUUUGGUGGAGCGGUGAAAUGCAUAGAGAUCGGAAAUAACACCAACGACGAAAGCACUCUACUGGGCCGACACUGACACUGAGAGACAAAAGCUAGGGGAGUGAAUGGG